GCCAGGUGUGGUGGUGCACACCUGUAAUCCCAGUGGCGCGGGAGGCUGAGGUAGAAGGACUGUGAGUUCAAAGCCAGCCUCAGCAAAAGUGAGGUGCUAAGCCACUCAGUGAGACCCUGUCUCUA
RNAcentral lists this small RNA (125 nucleotides) under Marmota monax (woodchuck). The record is from RNAcentral. Lineage: Eukaryota; Metazoa; Chordata; Mammalia; Rodentia; Sciuridae.